CCAGGCCUACGGGAGGCAGCAGUAGGGAAUUUUCGUCAAUGGGCGCAAGCCUGAACGAGCAAUGCCGCGUGAACGAGGAAGGUCUUCGGAUCGUAAAGUUCUGUUGAAGGGGAAAAAGAGCGGAGAGAGGAAAUGAACUCCGAUUGAUAUUACCCUUCGAGGAAGUCACGGCUAACUACGUGCCAGGAGCCGCGGUAAUACGUAGGUGGCGAGCGUUAUCCGGAAUGAUUGGGCGUAAAGGGUGCGUAGGCGGCCUGCUAAGUCUCGAGUGAAAGGUAACGGCUCAACCGGUACAGGCUCUGGAA
RNAcentral lists this ribosomal RNA (305 nucleotides) under uncultured bacterium. RNAcentral's name for it is "bacterial SSU rRNA". It matches the Rfam family "Bacterial small subunit ribosomal RNA", at positions 331 to 631 of the family's 1533-position model. The record is from RNAcentral.